UGGGGAAUAUUGCACAAUGGAGGGAACUCUGAUGCAGCGACGCCGCGCGAGUGAUGAAGGACUUCGUUUCGUAAAACUCUGUUCUAUGGGAAGAAAAGGACUGUACCAUAGGAGAAAGCUCCGGCUAAAUACGUGCCAGCAGCCGCGGUAAUACGUAUGGAGCGAGCGUUGUCCGGAAUUAUUGGGCGUAAAGGGUGCGCAGGCGGCUUUACAAGUUGGAUGUGAAAUAUUGUGGCUCAACCACAAACGUGCAUCCAAAACUGCAAAGCUUGAGUUAAGGAGAGGUAAGUGGAAUUCCUGGUGUAGCGGUGGAAUGCGUAGAUAUCAGGAGGAAUACCGGUGGCGAAGGCGACUUACUGGACUUAAACUGACGCUCAGGCACGAAAGCGUGGGGAGCAAACAGG
RNAcentral lists this ribosomal RNA (404 nucleotides) under Fusobacteriota bacterium. RNAcentral describes it as "Fusobacteria bacterium partial 16S ribosomal RNA". It matches the Rfam family "Bacterial small subunit ribosomal RNA", at positions 355 to 776 of the family's 1533-position model. The record is from RNAcentral. Lineage: Bacteria; Fusobacteriati; Fusobacteriota.